This 1001-nucleotide ribosomal RNA is filed under the name uncultured bacterium. RNAcentral's name for it is "bacterial SSU rRNA". It matches the Rfam family "Bacterial small subunit ribosomal RNA", at positions 356 to 1376 of the family's 1533-position model. The record is from RNAcentral.
GGGGAAUAUUGCACAAUGGGGGAAACCCUGAUGCAGCGAUGCCGCGUGGAGGAAGAAGGUCUUCGGAUUGUAAACUCCUGUUGUUGAGGAAGAUAAUGACGGUACCUGACUAAGAAGCCCCGGCUAACUACGUGCCAGCAGCCGCGGUAAUACGUAGGGGGCAAGCGUUAUCCGGAAUUAUUGGGCGUAAAGAGUGCGUAGGUGGUUACCUAAGCAGGGGGUGAAAGGCACUGGCUUAACCAAUGUCAGCCCCCUGAACUGGGCACCUUGAGUGCAGGAGAGGAAAGCGGAAUUCCUAGUGUAGCGGUGAAAUGCGUAGAUAUUAGGAGGAACACCAGUGGCGAAGGCGGCUUUCUGGACUGUUACUGACACUGAGGCACGAAAGUGUGGGGAGCAAACAGGAUUAGAUACCCUGGUAGUCCACACCGUAAACGAUGAGCACUAGGUGUCGGGGUCGCAAGACUUCGGUGCCGCAGUUAACGCAUUAAGUGCUCCGCCUGGGGAGUACGUACGCAAGUAUGAAACUCAAAGGAAUUGACGGGGACCCGCACAAGCAGCGGAGCAUGUGGUUUAAUUCGAAGCAACGCGAAGAACCUUACCAGGUCUUGACAUCCCGAUGACCGGCCCGUAACGGGGCCUUCUCUUCGGAGCAUUGGAGACAGGUGGUGCAUGGUUGUCGUCAGCUCGUGUCGUGAGAUGUUGGGUUAAGUCCCGCAACGAGCGCAACCCUUAUCCUCAGUAGCCAGCAGGUAAAGCUGGGCACUCUGUGGAGACUGCCAGGGAUAACCUGGAGGAAGGUGGGGAUGACGUCAAAUCAUCAUGCCCCUUAUGAUCUGGGCUACACACGUGCUACAAUGGCGUAAACAAAGGGAGGCAAAGCCGCGAGGUGGAGCAAAUCCCAAAAAUAACGUCUCAGUUCGGACUGCAGUCUGCAACUCGACUGCACGAAGCUGGAAUCGCUAGUAAUCGCGAAUCAGAAUGUCGCGGUGAAUACGUUCCCG